Molecule: ribosomal RNA, 449 nt
Filed under: uncultured bacterium
Lineage: Bacteria
Description: partial 16S ribosomal RNA
Rfam family: Bacterial small subunit ribosomal RNA
Source: RNAcentral
AACGAACGCUGGCGGCAGGCCUAACACAUGCAAGUCGAACGGAUCCUUCGGGAUUAGUGGCGCACGGGUGAGUAACGCGUGGGAACGUGCCCUUAGGUACGGAACAACAGUUGGAAACGACUGCUAAUACCGUAUAAUAUCGAGAGAUCAAAGAUUUAUUGCCUAAGGAUCGGCCCGCGUUAGAUUAGAUAGGUGGUGGGGUAAAGGCCUACCAAGUCUACGAUCUAUAGCUGGUCUUAGAGGAUGACCAGCCACACUGGAACUGAGCACCGGUCCAGACUGCUACGGGAGGCAGCAGGGAGGAAUAUGGGACAAUGGGCGAAGGCCUGAUCCAGCCAUGCCGCGUGAAUGAUGAAGGCCUUAGGGUUGUAAAGUUCUUUUAGCUGUGAAGAUGAUGACUGUAGCAGCAGAAAAAGCCCCGGCUAACUCCGUGCCAGCCGCCGCCGUAA